RNAcentral lists this ribosomal RNA (484 nucleotides) under uncultured bacterium. RNAcentral describes it as "partial 16S ribosomal RNA". It matches the Rfam family "Bacterial small subunit ribosomal RNA", at positions 29 to 523 of the family's 1533-position model. The record is from RNAcentral.
AGUGAACGCUGGCGGCGUGCUUAACACAUGCAAGUCGAACGAGAACGGAAUAUAGCUUGCUAUAUUUGUCAGCUAAGUGGCGCACGGGUGAGUAAUGUAUAGAUAACCUGCCCUUAAGAAAGGAAUAACAGUUGGAAACGACUGCUAAUGCCCUAUAUGCCUUUAAUACAUAAGUAUGCAAGGGAAACGCUUUAGUGCUUAAGGAUGGGUCUGUAUGGUAUCAGCUUGUUGGUGAGGUAAUGGCUCACCAAGGCUAUGACGCCUAACUGGUUUGAGAGGAUGAUCAGUCACACUGGAACUGAGACACGGUCCAGACUCCUACGGGAGGCAGCAGUGGGGAAUAUUGCACAAUGGACGAAAGUCUGAUGCAGCAACGCCGCGUGGAGGAUGACACAUUUCGGUGCGUAAACUCCUUUUAAAUAGGAAGAUAAUGACGGUACUAUAUGAAUAAGCACCGGCUAACUCGUGCCAGCCGCCGCGGUAA